UGCCAGCAGUCGCGGUUACACCAAGAAAUUAAGUCAUACAUAAAAGGUAAAAAGACAGUUAGAUUAUAACAUAAAUUAUAUACAAUCUUUGUAAAAAAGUAAAAUUUAAAUACAAAUUUCUAAUCUAAUAGUAAUUUAUUAUAUUGAAGCUGUGAAAACCUUGAGGGAAACUGGGAUUAGAUACCCCAUUAUUCUUGGUUUUAAAUUAAUAGAUAUAUAUGCGAAUAUAUAUGCAUAUUUACCAGAGUACUACGAAUUCCAAAAAUUUAAAACUCAAAGGGCUUGGCGGUGUUUUAGACCACUUAGGGGAACUUGUCUCAUAAUCGAUAAUCCACGAUAAACCUGACCUUUUUUUGUAUUCAGCUUGUAUACCGUUGUCGUCAGGUAACUUUUUAGAAACUAGAAGUUAGCUAUAAGAAUUGUAAUCUAAAACGUCAAAUCAAGGUGCAGUUUAUGGAAAGGGGAGGAUGAGUUACAAUUAUAAAAUUAUAAUACGGAAAGUUAUUAGAAUUAAAAAUUUGAAGGAGGACUUAAAAGUAAAAUAGAUUAUAUAAAUACUUUGAAUAAGGCUCUGAAACGUGCACACAUCGCCCGCCACUCU
RNAcentral lists this ribosomal RNA (601 nucleotides) under Inquisitor intertinctus. RNAcentral's name for it is "Inquisitor intertincta partial 12S ribosomal RNA". Lineage: Eukaryota; Metazoa; Mollusca; Gastropoda; Neogastropoda; Pseudomelatomidae. The record is from RNAcentral.